Non-coding RNA from Bacillus cereus Rock4-18, 102 nucleotides. Lineage: Bacteria; Bacillati; Bacillota; Bacilli; Caryophanales; Bacillaceae. The record is from Rfam.
UUAAUACGGACGAUGUUACCUCAUAUAUACUCGAUAAUAUGGAUCGAGAGUUUCUACCCGGCAACCUUAAAUUGCUGGACUAUGGGGAAAACUAAUGAAUAU